This 75-nucleotide transfer RNA is filed under the name Chloroflexota bacterium. RNAcentral's name for it is "Chloroflexi bacterium tRNA-Met". It matches the Rfam family "tRNA". Rfam says of the family: Transfer RNA (tRNA) molecules are approximately 80 nucleotides in length. Their secondary structure includes four short double-helical elements and three loops (D, anti-codon, and T loops). Further hydrogen bonds mediate the characteristic L-shaped molecular structure. tRNAs have two regions of fundamental functional importance: the anti-codon, which is responsible for specific mRNA codon recognition, and the 3' end, to which the tRNAs corresponding amino acid is attached (by aminoacyl-tRNA synthetases). tRNAs cope with the degeneracy of the genetic code in two manners: having more than one tRNA (with a specific anti-codon) for a particular amino acid; and 'wobble' base-pairing, i.e. permitting non-standard base-pairing at the 3rd anti-codon position. The record is from RNAcentral. Lineage: Bacteria; Bacillati; Chloroflexota.
GGGCCCAUGGCGCAGCGGUAGCGCAACGGACUCAUAAUCCGCGGGUCGCAGGUUCGAAUCCUGCUGGGCCCACCA